UACGAAGGGGGCUAGCGUUGCUCGGAAUCACUGGGCGUAAAGCGCACGUAGGCGGCUUGUUAAGUCAGGGGUGAAAUCCUGGAGCUCAACUCCAGAACUGCCUUUGAUACUGGCGAUCUUGAGUCCGGGAGAGGUGAGUGGAACUGCGAGUGUAGAGGUGAAAUUCGUAGAUAUUCGCAAGAACACCAGUGGCGAAGGCGGCUCACUGGACCACAACUGACGCUGAGGCGCGAAAGCUAGGGGAGCAAACAGG
RNAcentral lists this ribosomal RNA (253 nucleotides) under uncultured bacterium. RNAcentral describes it as "partial 16S ribosomal RNA". It matches the Rfam family "Bacterial small subunit ribosomal RNA", at positions 524 to 776 of the family's 1533-position model. The record is from RNAcentral.